ACGGGGGAUGCCUAGGGUCUCAGAGGCGACGAAGGACGCGAUAAGCUGCGAUAAGGCUGGGGGAGAGGCACAUGCUCGUUAUAUCCCAGCAUUUCCGAAUGGGGCAACCCCCUGACUGGAAGAGUCAGGAGCCGACCAGCUUGACUGGCGGCGGCAAACGCAGGGAACUGAAACAUCUAAGUACCUGCAGGAAAAGAAAAUAACAAUGAUUCCCCAAGUAGUGGCGAGCGAACGGGGAGGAGCCCAAACCGGGUUGGUUACGGCCAAUCCGGGGUUGUAGGACCACGACAUCUGAUUGAAUCGAGUUAGCUGAACUGCUUGGGAAAGCAGGCCAUAGACGGUGAGAGCCCGGUAAGCGACAAUUCUGAUUCACGGUAGUGGUAUCCUGAGUAGGGCGGGGCCGGAGAAACCCCGUCUGAAUCGAGCGGCACCAUCCGCUAAGGCUACAUACUCCUGAGACACCGAUAGUGAACUAGUACCGUGAGGGAAAGGUGAAAAGAACCGGG
This 506-nucleotide ribosomal RNA is filed under the name Rhodella violacea. RNAcentral's name for it is "partial Bacterial large subunit ribosomal RNA". It matches the Rfam family "Bacterial large subunit ribosomal RNA", at positions 22 to 528 of the family's 2925-position model. The record is from RNAcentral. Lineage: Eukaryota; Rhodophyta; Rhodellophyceae; Rhodellales; Rhodellaceae.